This 460-nucleotide ribosomal RNA is filed under the name uncultured bacterium. RNAcentral's name for it is "partial 16S ribosomal RNA". It matches the Rfam family "Bacterial small subunit ribosomal RNA", at positions 338 to 795 of the family's 1533-position model. The record is from RNAcentral.
CCUACGGGGAGCAGCAGUGAGGAAUAUUGGUCAAUGGACGAGAGUCUGAACCAGCCAAGUAGCGUGAAGGAUGACUGCCCUAUGGGUUGUAAACUUCUUUUAUAUGGGAAUAAAACGUUCCACGUGUGGGAUUUUGUAUGUACCAUCUGAAUAAGGAUCGGCUAACUCCGUGCCAGCAGCCGCGGUAAUACGGAGGAUCCGAGCGUUAUCCGGAUUUAUUGGGUUUAAAGGGAGCGUAGGUGGAUUGUUAAGUCAGUUGUGAAAGUUUGCGGCUCAACCGUAAAAUUGCAGUUAAAACUGGCAGUCUUGAGUACAGUAGAGGUGGGCGGAAUUCGUGGUGUAGCGGUGAAAUGCUUAGAUAUCACGAAGAACUCCGAUUGCGAAGGCAGUUCACUGGACUGCAACUGACACUGAGGCUCGAAAGUGUGGGUAUCAAACAGGAUUAGAUACCCUAGUAGUC